This is a non-coding RNA of Caretta caretta (loggerhead turtle), 225 nucleotides long. The record is from RefSeq and is a predicted model, not a curated record. Lineage: Eukaryota; Metazoa; Chordata; Testudines; Cheloniidae.
GCCGUGGGGGGCCAGGGACCCUACCCGAGAUGGUGGUGAGCAGGUGGAGGCCCGUGGGGGGUCACAGGGGCCGCGGGGGGUGCUGCGGGGGGUGCCGCGGGGGGCCGGGGACCCUACCCGAGAUGGUGGUGAGCAGGUGGAGGCCCGUGGGGGUCACAGGGGCCGCGGGGGCGCCGUGGGGGGCCCCAUGGGGGGCCGGGGACCCUACCCGAGAUGGUGGUGAGC